UAUCUAUGUACAUGUAUGCUACACUUUUUAUUGCACUGUAUUAUAAGCAUAUAUUAUAAUUAUCCUUCAUUACCUUUUCAUUUACCUGGUAUUAUUUUAUCAUAGGUAUUAAUUAAAAGGAUCCAUCAGAUUGUCCAAUGUUAGGUGAAUGUGUUCAUAGAACUCUGUGGCUCAUUAAAAAGAUAUUCUCAUCACAUCAAAGCUAAUUGGAGCAGUUUCAACUUCCAAGUGUCAUGCAGAGAAUGCUUCACUAGCUGCUUUCUUGCCUUCUAUCCUUCAGCUCUUCUCAAGUGGUUCUCACUUUGUACUCUACUGCAAAAAUAGAUCCAUAUGAUGCUAUUCCUGGUUUCCUUGAUAAUAAUUAACUACGCUGUCACGCCCAUUCAUUGAAAUAAUUCUAUAACUGUUGGACAUGUCUUUAAUCUUGUUGCCGAGAGCCCAACUGCUAUGGAUUGGAAUUAUACAUUCUUUUCUCUCCUAAGAAUUACACACUGGGUGACAUUGAGAUUCUUAGCAUAAAGUCUGUAGGUUAGUUAGCAAAAGAGGGAAAGAUCGAUUAGACCAAUCAGAUUCAGUUUACAAAAAUCAUAGAAACAGCCACCAUCUUGAAAAACCGACCUCAAUCCUACAUAUAGGCUACCACCUAUAUAAUGUACUUAAGGAUGGAGGACACUGGGCAGUUAGUGGCUGGGAGCAUUCCAGCUUAAGUACUCUGGAAUGAUAGAAACCAAUCACAUACAAGGAUUUUGGUAUCCAGUUAGAAGACUGCUGAUUAUAUGUUUUGAUAUGACGUUUUGAGGCAGAAUUUGGCAUUGGAAGAAGGUAUUGAAAAGGAGAAAUAGAGGCAUUUUGAUUAAUAAUGACAUCAAAAGAUACCUCAAAGAAACACUGGCAGAUCAGUAAA
Amphimedon queenslandica is the source of this 904-nucleotide long non-coding RNA. RefSeq lists it as uncharacterized. The transcript has 4 exons. NCBI's taxonomy places the organism in Eukaryota, Metazoa, Porifera, Demospongiae, Haplosclerida, Niphatidae. The record is from RefSeq and is a predicted model, not a curated record.